This 2143-nucleotide long non-coding RNA is filed under the name Canis lupus familiaris (dog). RNAcentral describes it as "lncRNA (ENSCAFG00000052717.1)". Lineage: Eukaryota; Metazoa; Chordata; Mammalia; Carnivora; Canidae. The record is from RNAcentral.
UUUUUAUUUAAGUUACUCGUACUUUUAAUUUUAAUAAAGAGUUGAUUUUGUAGGGAAACUUUCCUAGAGUAGAGCAUACACUAAUGGCAGGACGCCCCUUGGUCUUUUCCUUCUGGUGCCCUCAUAAAGCGCACCCGGGCUACCUGGGCAGGGAGCUGAUGCAACUCAGGCUGUGCCGGCUGGGGUUUUGGUUUAGAUUCUGUAGUGGCACAUGCCUGGCGCCAAGGCCCGCCUGCCUGUCCCGCAGGUGGUGAGAAGCAGAAUUCCCGGUGGCUCCUUUGCUCCCCUUCUGAGAAGCCCCCCAGGGACUGCGGCCUCCUGUUUGUUUUCUAUCCACCCCCCUCCCCGCCCUCCUCUCCACUCUGGAAGCUCAAAGGCCUGCUUGGAGUUGGAGGCCUGUUCCUCUGGAGCACUUGCGUCAAUCAGCUUCCCCAGAACCGGAUUCGCUGUGGCAUUCUUGCUCAUGAAGUGAGAGCGCUUCCUGUUCCGUGAAAGCUGAGGGGGUCCUGGAAAUGACCCCGGCUUUCCAGACUGAUAGUGAGCCUGAGAAUCAGAAACCAGGCUCCCGUCCAGGGACUUGGAGCCAAUAACGAAUUUGAAAGCUAUCAAAAAACUGGAUACUGGUCUUGGUGGGGGAGGCGGUGGGGGGCUGGCUGCACAGAAUGGCUUUGUUUCCCAGGAGUGCAGUCUUUCCAGGUCGCCUGGGGACUCGAGGUGGAGGAUGCCAGUCCCACCCGCCUUCCGCCUUCCUCACGGAGCUCUGCUCCCUCCUUGCUUAGCCUGUCCCCGAGUAGGGAGUAGCAGGUGGCCUUCACCUCCGGCCGUUUUCAUCAUGUUCUAGGAUGGCAGCGGCCUUGAGCUUGUGCUUUGGACGGAAACAUUUUAUAGGGGAAACUGUGUGUGUAUCAAUGUCACGUUCGCCACUUGUCAGCCCCGUGACCUUGGGCAAGUCUUUUGGCUUCUUGAAGCUGCAUUCCCUGGUCUGUAAGGUGGUGAUCCUUUGUGAAGGUUAAAUAAGACUAUACACGUAAGGCGCUCGUUUCAGCUAAUAUGAAAGAGCCUACAGGAGACGUCAGGGCUUCCCUCUGCCUCAAAACUUUUCCUAACCCCUCCCUUUACCAGCUUUUUCGUGCCUCCCACCCUUCCGAGAGAAGGAAAUAGGGUUGGGGACAACCGAGGGGGGCACAGAGUGCGGCCUAGCCUCCUUCUCAAGGCCCCUCCAGGUGUUAACAAGUCCCCCUUCCCAGCCAUCUUCUCUUCCGCCAAGGCCUUAACUGUGACCUCCUAGCUCUUCAGGGAUUCUUUCCUGUAUUCGGGCAGUGGACAGAGCUCCGGGGGUUGGGUCAAAUCUCUGCUUGCUGCCACACCUGUCCGUAUUCUUACCCAGAUUAUCUCCACCUGACAGGGAGAUAGAGCUCCUUCUGUUCCAUGGAAGAACAGAUUUCUCACUUGUUCUUCUGGUGAUGGCGUCAUAAUCCGAGAUUCCAGAAAAGAAUGGGCACCUUCAUCCUAUAAUGAGAACUGUGUACGUGUGUGGGGCUGGGCCAGGGGGCAAUGGAGGUGUGGCGAAGGUUAGGAGGUAGCUGUGCCACCCACCUCCAAGGUAGGGAAGGCUGGGAGGAAUCAAGAGACUAAUCUUGAGUCAUCCUCUUCCUAUACACUAUAGUACCUUGCAUCUGGUCUUAGAUCCUUGUUCCUUGUUGGCAAAGGCAAAACAUGUACUGGAACGAAGCAGCCUUAUCAAGAUUAAACUAGUGUGCGCAGGAGCCAAUAUCCUGGCAUCCACGUGCGGCCUGAAUGGUACUAGGAGCAGGAAGUGGACUGGGAUGUACACUUAAAUUUCUUAACAGUUUCUACUCUUUUGUGCAUGGGGGCUGUAAAGAAAAUUAUUGAGGUAACCGGGGAAUUUUGAAGUACUAGGAAAUAUGGUAGAAGCAGGACAUUCCUCUGGGUGGAGGCGUCGUGAAGGUUACGUACGGAAUCUGUGGUUGGGGGAUCCCUGGGUGGCUCAGUGGUUUGGUGCCUGCCUUCGGCCCAGGGCGUGAUCCUGGAGUCCCGGGAUCAAAUCCCAUGUCGGGCUCCUUACAUGGGGCCUGCCUUCUGCCUGUGUCUCUGCCUCUCUCUCUUUAUCUCUCUCGAAUCA